UGACCUGCGGAGGGAUCAUUACAGCAGUUGCAAAACUCCCUAAACCAUUGUGAACGUUACCUAUACCGUUGCUUCGGCGGGCGGCCCCGGGGUUUACCCCCCGGGCGCCCCUGGGCCCCACCGCGGGCGCCCGCCGGAGGUCACCAAACUCUUGAUAAUUUAUGGCCUCUCUGAGUCUGCUGUACUGAAUAAGUCAAAACUUUCAACAACGGAUCUCUUGGUUCUGGCAUCGAUGAAGAACGCAGCGAAAUGCGAUAAGUAAUGUGAAUUGCAGAAUUCAGUGAAUCAUCGAAUCUUUGAACGCACAUUGCGCCCGCCAGCAUUCUGGCGGGCAUGCCCGUUCGAGCGUCAUUUCAACCAUCAAGCCCCCGGGCUUGUGUUGGGGACCUGCGGCUGCCGCAGGCCCUGAAAAGCAGUGGCGGGCUCGCUGUCGCACCGAGCGUAGUAGCAUACAUCUCGUUCUGGUCGCGCCGCGGGUUCCGG
This 483-nucleotide unclassified non-coding RNA is filed under the name Collariella bostrychodes. Its description in RNAcentral is "sequence contains 18S rRNA gene, ITS1, 5.8S rRNA gene, ITS2 and 28S rRNA gene". The stretch from base 198 to 351 matches the Rfam family "5.8S ribosomal RNA". The record is from RNAcentral. Lineage: Eukaryota; Fungi; Ascomycota; Sordariomycetes; Sordariales; Chaetomiaceae.